AAUUCUCUCACUUCUUUCUCUCGACAAAAUAACCCCAAAAAAAUCCAAAAGAUUGAGAUAUCCUCAAAACUACAUUCUUCUAUAUCUUUCUUCCGGUUCUAUCAGCCCUAAUGCUUCUAUGUUCGAUCUUUGUUUUCUUUUAGUUUGAAGUUUUGUGAAACGUUCUCAAAAAGGCAGAAAAUUUACAGUGGCGUCGUCAAGUGGUGACACAAGCUCCGUCGGAUAAGUUUCUAGUUUGUUUGGUGUGGAGAUUUCAUUUAUUGCUUUUUUUUCGAAGGGAUUUUAAAAGUCAUUCUAAUUAUUAUUAUUUUUUAAUCUUUCAGAGAAAUUGUCAAAAAGUAACGAAUGCUUACGAUCUUUCUAUUAUAUGGGAUUUUUAUGUGAUUCUUUUGGUAAAAAAAUCUUUAUCUUUACAUUUCCAUAUGUUUACUGUAUUUUAUUUCAACGAUUAAUUAUUAUACUUGAUAUUUAUUUUUUGAGAAAAAAAAAAUAGGCGACAAUGAUCUACAUCAAUAAUUUUGAGGUUCUCCAUCUGGCAGUGGGAAGUAAUUUGGUCAUGGCCUUGGUCUUGCGGAAUCCCAGGUUUGUAUAGAGCCAACGGUGUCCUCCUUUGAAUGCGGAAUGACGACUACUUCUCCAAUCGAUUCCAAGUUGAACCUGUUAAUCUCAUAUGUGGCUCAGAAACACAUGUAUUUUCUUUUCUUUUUCCCGUUGCACAUAUUUUCCCACUACACGUGAUGGUUAUUAGGUUUUCUUCAUUGUUGUUGUGUAUUAUUUUAAUUCAUGUUAAUUUGGAUUCUUCUUCUUAGCCAAUAAUGCUUAAGGCUUCUUUAAAUCUAUGGUUUUUUUUUUAAGUUUCCAACUAACAACAAUCUAAAAUGACAAAGACUUGGGGCAUAGAAAUGGAGCUGCAUUUGCUGUUAUACAUGUACUUGUUUGUUCGUUAAUGGUUCGUUCUUUCACUAUUUUUUUUUAUGUACGUUGUACUAUUUUCUUCCUGGAAAAUAUAAAUUGAUUUUUAAAUAACUUGUACAAUUAUAGUUCUUUCGCUAUAUGAUGAGUUAUAUUUUGAUUUUUCUUAAAUAAGCAUUACAAUUUUGCAUAUUAUGGAAUCUGUAAUUUAUUCGGUGCUAUUAACCAUUAGAGGCUCCUGUACACUUCUACAGAUAUCAUUAUCAUAUAUGUGUGUGUGUGUGUGUGAAUUUCGUUUCAAUUCAAUUUUGUAUUUUUUUUAAUUUUUUUUUUUUGGAUUUUACAGAGAGAUGCUCAGCAGAAAUUAAAUGAUUUAUUAAGAGAGCCUCGUGCAGCACCAAUAAAUCCAUGAGAGAUUAUUUGUAAAAGGGCUCCAUUGAGCCCUGUAUCGGUGAUAGAACCAAUUCCUAUAAUUAUGAAACCCAUAUGAGAUACAGAGGAAUAGGCUAUUCGUUUUUUUUAAAUUCCGUUGACCGAGAGAUGUUGAAGCUGCAUAAAUUAUUUGCAUUGCGCCUACUAUGAACAACCAAGGAGAAAAUAUAGAAUGAGCAUGGGGUAAUAAUUCCAUAUUGAUCCGAACUAAUCUAUNAGCAAAAGUAAUAAAAAAUCCAAUAUAAAAUAUUAUUUCCAAGGCCACAGGAUAGGACUGAUUGGCUAAUAUUUCUAAAUUUAAUGUUGGUUCAUUAGAACCAUAUAAAUCGAUACCAAGAACUCCCAUUAAAAAAAAAAAUAGAACCCCCCGCCGUGUACAAAAUAAAUUUGGUAGCUGAGUACAGACGUUUUUUUCCUCCCCACAUUGAUAGAAGUAGAUAAACGGGAAUUAAUUCUAACUCCCACAUGAGGAAAAAAAGUAAAAGGUCUAUGUAUUUUUUUUUAAUUUUUAUUUUUAUGAAUUUUCCUUGCAAGUUGUAAUUUUUUUCUAGAGUUUUGGGGUUCUUUUAAUGCUAAACAAUUUACUGGGAAAAUUGUCGCUGUUCUACCUAAAAUGGAGUAGAACAACACUUUGCAGUAGUAGAGAGCUUCGUCUUCUUCCUCUUCCCAAUCCAUAGAUUUAAUUUUAAGGUCUGGUUCUUCCCAUUUGUCUGAAUCUUUUUUCAUCAAGUAAAAUACUUCUUCUAUUUUUCAUUCUUUCCGUUCUUCACUUUUCAAUUUCUGUUGUGAGUAAUUUCUUUAAUUUUCUUUGAAGCUUAAAUGAUAUAUUCAAGCAAUUUCCACUUGGAGUGUUCAUUAUAGUUUUCUUUAUGAUUUAUGAUUUAUGAUUGUCCUUUUAGGAUAAAUAGUGUUGUGAUUCAGAUAUGAUGGUGUUUUGGUGACUUUUUCUGCUACUCGCAUUUACAUACGCUACUAUUCUUCCUUAUGCUCAUCCCUUCCAACGCGCCGCUAUAGAUGUUGAUGCCACUGAUGAUUCAGCUCUGCUUAUAGGUUUUUUAUUUUUGAUUUUUUCAGUUUUGUAUAGAUUUUAUGUGUUAAAAAAUGAAUCUAUUUGAAUGCCGGGGACACUCAUAGACUACUUGGUUAUAUAUUUCUAUUGAAAUGCACCUAAAGGUUUAGGAAAUGAAGAAGACGAGAGUUCUAAAUUUCUGUUUCUCUAAUUUUUUUAAACCAUUAAAAUUUGUGUAUAAAAUUUAGUGGCUGCUUAAUAACUAUAAUAUAUUGUAAGUGCAUUUAAGAUUGGGUUUACCAUUUCUCUCAAUUGGAUGGUUAGAAAAUUUGACUUUCUGUAGCUUUUUAAAUUAUCAGUUUUUGUAUGUAUAAAAGUUAGGGCAGAACUAAUCAUGAAAAUAAUUUAUGUGCAUUGGCGACUGAGUUUUCAAUGUUUUUUUUUUUUUUAAAUAAUAUGACGGGGGAGUCUGCAGCCACUAUCAUUCAGGUGCAUACUGGAUAAACCCUCGGACUAACACAAUAGCCUGCAAAUCAUGUCAGUCAGGUAAAUCUCAUUAGACAAACCCUAUGCGACAGACCUGACCGAGAAAGUGUUGGUAGGGGGUAUCGAACUCGUGACCAAAGGCCUUCGCACUUACUUACUCCACCAAUUCGGCUACCCCAUGAGGGGCAAGUUUUCUAUGAAUUGGAUGAUUACAAUGUUGGAUGAUGGGAAUCAAACAAAGGAAAAUAGCUUCAUCUAUGUUUAGUUUUUUAAACACUGUUUAUUUUGCCAUUAGGAUAAGUAAUUUUCUUUAAAUGGUGUGAAUUUUACCUUCUAUUAGAUAAAUUUUAUUUGAACUACUUAUUUCUUUUAUGUAUUUUUAUGUGCAUAGAAUGAAAUAUUAAGAUAUUAAACUAAUUCUGAUAUUAUCUUUGAUUCUAUCGGACAUUCCAAAAAAAUAAAAGAAAAGCAUUAAAAGAAGGUUUUGAUUUCAUUAGUGAUGAAUGGGACUUCAAGCAUGCUUUGUUAAGCUUAAAUUUAGUCUAAAAUCACCUUUACAUUUUGUAUCAAACUUGUUUCCCUGUGCUCAUUCGUAAAACCUUUAUUUGUAAUUUAAGUAUAUUAGCAAAAUUAUUUUAUCUGUUGAGACACAUAAAUUACUGCCAAUUCAAAUAAUUUGUUUAUACUUUCACCAAGUCAUACAUAGAACUUCUCUUCUGCCUUUAAUUAAAUUAGCUAAACAUGAACUUCCUUUUCUGAUAGAACGAAAGAAAGAGAAAACACAUAUUGAAUGUAUUUACAUUGUAUAUUCAUUAUUCUUUUUCCAUUGUAGAACUUAAUCUGAUUAUAUUGCAAACAGUAUAAACCAUCUGUUGGUCUAUUUAUACCUCAAAACAAUAAAUUCUAGUGACUAUGAUAUUUUUUUUUACGUAACAAUGAUGCCUUAAAGUAAAAACUGGAGAAGAAUUUAUUCACCUUUGGGAUUGUCUUAAUUUGGCACUUGUGUUUGCAUGGUACAUAAUGAUUUAUUUUUUCUAAGUUAAUUUAGAGUAUUUCUGUUUAGAUAGUACAAGUUAGUAUCUUCUCAAUUUGUGACUGAAUUUUCGUUCUGAUACCUUAAAGAAGACAAACUGAUAAAGUCCAGUGUUAUGAGACUACAACAAUGAAUUAAUUGGGCUACUUCCCGACACUGGAACCUGGUGAGGUUAGAAGUUGCUGGUUUUUUAUAUAUUGGCCUUUUCUCUAUAUUUAGUUCUUCUUCCUUCCUUUAACUAAUAUAUUCUAUGUACGUGGAUUAUUCAAUUCUAGGUAACAAGAUACCUUGUUUUCGGGAUGUAUAGUUGAUUGGACUUUCGAUGUAUCAUCUUGAUUAAUAGCUCAUAAGGACAGAAGUUAGUCUCAAAUUUCUUCAAGACUUGGAUACAUUAAAAUUAGAAUUUGAGUAACGCAAAGCAAUUCCAACUUUAAUGUGAUAUCUACUAACUCCUUUCAACAAGUAUAAAAUUCAGCUCAGGUACUUACGUUGACCUUUCUAUGUUAAAUGUUUGUUCUUGGAGUUACAAUGUCCCUUUUGUAUACAGACCAUAUUAAAGCUACAAACUGAUAGACACCUGCUUUAGAAUUUGUUUCUAUAUAAUGUGUCCAAUUUAUUUAGUGGUCAUACUACUGAAUAGUUGACUUGGGAUGCAGUUGUUUGAUUACUAAGUUUUUUAUUUUUUAUUUUUAUCCGUACAUUCGAGGGGAUUGAAGAAACAUUUGAAUAGACUCAAUGCUCCAAAGCAUUUGAUGCUUGACAAGCUUGGCGGAGCAUUUAAGUGAAUAAUUAUGUAGCCAUGUGUAUAUUUCUUCUUCUGGUAUAGUCAUUGCCAUUUUAAUGUAACGUGUUUUGGUCCAUGGGAAGGCGUGAACUGAUAAGACUUAUCCAGCUGGCUUCAUGGGUAUGUGUCGUGUCUGGGUUCGUUUCCUUAUCGGUAUGUAAUGUAAUGACGGUACAUGGUACAAGAGUGAGUUUCUUAUGGUUAAUCGAUGCCUUUCACAUCCAGAUGUUGUCUCCAUUCUAAACGAGAACUUCUGUCUCCUCUAUGACACCAAGGGGCAGAUUUCGAUUCCAUUUAAUCAGGGACGAAGAGGCAAAGGUCUGUUACAGCGGCUUUAUUUUUUCACUUGUAGGUUCUCCUGAGAAAUAGUGCUAUUUCCCAGAAGUUAAUUUCAGAAUUUUCGAACUUCUCUUCCUUACUACUAUUGGUCAUUCAGAUGUUCUCAUCUUGAUUUUCUGAAAGUAGAUAUUUUCUUCUUGGAUGACGAAUUUUUUUCAAAUAAUAACUAGGGAACCAAUUGUUUUGCAUUGGAGUCCUGUUAUAAUAAUCUCUCUUGAGUAGAUUUUUCAAAUAAUAGCUAGGGAACCAAUUGUUCCAUGUUGGAGUUCUUGUUAUAAUAAUGUCUCUCAUAUUACUUUAUGGUAAUUUUAGCUGUGGUCUGAUGCAAUAUUUUUUGCCUCCGUCCAGUUUAAGCUUUCAAAGGUUCGAUCUGUCCAGUUUGGGAAAAAUGGGUUCUGGCUAGGGAUUUCAGUCAAAUUCCGAAAAUAUCCCUGGGAUCAAAAUAAACCGCAUACAAGCUCCAGAUUAGUUGGGUGUAGAUCGCCAGAGGUUUCAGACAAUAUAUAUGAACCACAUUAAGUAAAAAUUUGUAUGAUUCUGAGUUUGGAAAAUAGAAAUUACAUUUCUAAUUGCCGAUAUGAUUCUCAUGCUUGUUAAUUCUCAUCAGGUUGGGCUGUUAUGCUGUUCAGUCUUAUGUAGAGUAGAUUCUGACAUAGCUCUUUCCAUGAUCAUCCAGUAAGUGAUCCUAUAAGCUCAUAGUACAUGACAAAAUUUUGCUUGCUAAACUUUAGUCGAGAAAAAAGAUUAAAUUAUAAGAUGGAAUAUCCAUUCAUACUUUCAUAUUUAGUUAAAAACAUCAAUGAAAUGAGAAGAAAAGCUUUGUAAAUCACUUACCACAGGAAAAAAUGUUUCUUGUUUCUAUUUGUCAGGAAGAUAUUCUCUUGUUCAUUGAAGAACUCAAUUAGUCACAAAAUAGAUUACUUAUUUAUCCUAUUCUAUAUAUCAAGCUUGUUCUAAAGGGUUAUUUCUUCACUCUUCUAGGAAUCACAGUCCUCGUGGCCAUCUUAUGCAGCUAAAGUGGAAGUAGCACACUUUCGGGAUUCUUCUAUGGCAAGAUAAAAAAUAGAGAUUUUAUAUUGUUUCCGCUCUGGAGGAUACAAAUUUGGAUUUGAAAGGUAUAUGCACUUUCAAAUUUUAUAGCUUCUCUAAAUUUUGCAAAUCACUAAAUAUUCUUCAAUAGCUUUGGCAAGGGGAAUUAUAAAGUAGUUUUGCAAAUCAAAUACUCGUGUCACCUUUCAAAAGUUGGGGGGGAGGAAAUAGUGGAAGAUGGCCGGUUGGGAGAGAGGGGGAGAGAGAGAGAGUUGUUGAGGCAAAAACGAUAAAAGAAGCUGUAGAAACACAGGUUUCGAAGUUGAGUUCGCGGAACAAUAAAGGCUCAACAUCAAAGUAAUCCUUUCCAAUCUACCCUCAUAUUUAAAUAAAGAACAAGCAACGUGGAUGCUCAAAUUCAUUUGACUAUCAGGUUGUUUUAUCCCUUUAGGGCAUAUGGUGGGGCGAUAAAACGAUAAUAAGUAUUCCUUGAAAAGAAAAGUAAAACUUUAUAUUUGUUGUAACAUUUAUG
RNAcentral lists this long non-coding RNA (6556 nucleotides) under Olea europaea subsp. europaea. Lineage: Eukaryota; Viridiplantae; Streptophyta; Magnoliopsida; Lamiales; Oleaceae. The record is from RNAcentral.